GACGAACGCUGGCGGCGUGCUUAACACAUGCAAGUCGAACGGUGAAGCGCUUGCCUUUUUGGUGGGUGUGGAUGAGUGGCGAACGGGUGAGUAACACGUGAGUAACCUGCCCUCUUCUUCUGGAUAACCUCAUGAAAGUGGGGCUAAUACGGGGUAUUCCGGGUCUGUCGCAUGGCGGGUUUGGGAAAGAUUGCGCCUUUGGGUGUUUUCGGUGGGGGAUGGGCUCGCGGCCUAUCAGCUUGUUGGUGGGGUGAUGGCCUACCAAGGCGGUGACGGGUAGACGGCCUGAGAGGGUGGACGGCCACACUGGGACUGAGACACGGCCCAGACUCCUGCGGGAGGCAGCAGUGGGGAAUAUUGCACAAUGGGCGCAAGCCUGAUGCAGCGACGCCGCGUGAGGGAUGGAGGCCUUCGGGUUGUGAACCUCUUUCGCCAGUGAAGCAGGCCUGCUCCUGUGUGGGUGGGUUGACGGUAGCUGGAUAAGAAGCGCCGGCUAACUACGUG
Molecule: ribosomal RNA, 504 nt
Filed under: uncultured bacterium
Lineage: Bacteria
Description: partial 16S ribosomal RNA
Rfam family: Bacterial small subunit ribosomal RNA
Source: RNAcentral